Molecule: ribosomal RNA, 301 nt
Filed under: uncultured bacterium
Lineage: Bacteria
Description: partial 16S ribosomal RNA
Rfam family: Bacterial small subunit ribosomal RNA
Source: RNAcentral
CAGCAGCCACGGGAACACCGAGGAUGCAAGCGUUAUCCGGAAUUAUUGGGCGUAAAGGGCUCGCAGGCGGUUUCUUAAGUCUGAUGUGAAAGCCCCCGGCUCAACCGGGGAGGGUCAUUGGAAACUGGGAAACUUGAGUGCGGAAGAGGAGAGUGGAAUUCCACGUGUAGCGGUGAAAUGCGUAGAGAUGUGGAGGAACACCAGUGGCGAAGGCGACUCUCUGGUCUGUAACUGACGCUGAGGAGCGAAAGCGUGGGGAGCGAACAGGAUUAGAUACCCGCGUAGUCCCUGUCUCUUAUAC